UACGUAGGGGGCGAGCGUUGUCCGGAUUUAUUGGGCGUAAAGAGCUCGUAGGCGGCUUGCCAAGUCAGGGGUGAAAUCCUGCAGCUCAACUGUAGAAGUGCCUUUGAUACUGGCGAGCUCGAGGGAGGUAGGGGUGGGUGGAAAUUCUGGUGGAGCGGUGAAAUGCGUUGAUAUCAGAAGGAACGCCGGUGGCGAAAGCGACCCACUGGAUCUCUACUGACGCUGAGGCGCGAAAGCUAGGGGAGCAAACGGG
RNAcentral lists this ribosomal RNA (253 nucleotides) under uncultured bacterium. RNAcentral describes it as "partial 16S ribosomal RNA". It matches the Rfam family "Bacterial small subunit ribosomal RNA", at positions 524 to 776 of the family's 1533-position model. The record is from RNAcentral.